This is a non-coding RNA of Pantherophis guttatus, 1491 nucleotides long. The record is from RefSeq and is a predicted model, not a curated record. Lineage: Eukaryota; Metazoa; Chordata; Lepidosauria; Squamata; Colubridae.
ACUCAGAACUCCCUGGCGAGGAGAAGAAGAAGAAAAUAAGAAACUGCAAACCUGCUUUCCUGGGACUAACCUAAAUAGCUGUCUCUGGACCAAAGAAAAAAUUAAUUCACAUUUCAAGUAGAACCCAAUACAGUGGACAGUUUCCCAACGGGGCAAUUUUCAGAAGGUUGGAUGUGAACUCACAAAUUAAUCUGCCUUGAUUGUUGCUGAGGAUUCCGAGAGUUUAAAUUCACCCAUCUGGAAAUGCUCUGCUUUGAGCAAUGAACAUGCAAAAGAUCCAAAGCUCUGGGAAUAGACGUUAAAAAGCCCAGUUAAAAAAAACAUAGAACUAAAAUUCAGGAUAAAGAAGACCAAACGAAUGAACGAAUGAAGAAGCAAGCCUCAGAACUGACAAUGAGGAUAUCAAAUGGGUGGGAAAUUAUUAUACUGAGUAUUUAGGCAGAAAUGAGAUUAGUAGUAUGUCUGAGUGAGUGACGAGGAGGUCGACCUAUUCUCCAAAGCACCCGAAGGCAGGACAAGAAACAAUGGAUGGAAACUCAUCAAGGAGAGAAGCAACCUGGAAUUAAGGAGAAACUUCCCAACAGUGAGGACAAUCAACCAGUGGAGCAGAAGUUGCCUUCAGAAGUUUUGGGUGCUUCAAAAAGAGAGUGGACAACCAUUUGUCUGAAAUGGCAUAGGUUCUCCUUCUCGAGCAAGGGGUUGGACCAGAAGACCCCUAAGGUUCCUUUUAUUCUAUGUUCAGUAAGAACCGUCCCACCAAUCUCCAUGCUUCCAGGAGUUUGGGGGAUGAAAAUGAUGGCAAUGUAUUUCUGUUUUCAUUUUAAAUCUGAAUUUAACUCUUUUCAGGUUUGCUGUAAAUUCUUUGUCGGUAAACAGAAAGUCUUCUGAUCCUCUCGCCCACCGGCCGUAUCUCACUAUCCUCGACUGAGCUAAAAACUAUGAUGAAUACUUGGCCUGGAAACCACUAGAAAAUCCCAGAGCCCAAAUGGUGCACUUGGAAAGAAGAAAAAAAAAACAUUCCAAAAGAAAGCAGGUUUGUCCAAGUGCUGGACUCAAGGCUGAUUACAGGAUCCAAGGAUGGAAACAGGACAACUUUGGCAGCUGCCCAAGGCAAAGAAGGUUGAUUGCAGGGCUCUUUCUUGCUCUCACUAUUAGAAAACUCCUCCUUAGUUCUAGGUUGAUUCUCUCCUUGGUUAGUUUCCAUCUGUUGUUUCUUGUCUUUAAUGCCCUGGAGAUAAAGUGACAGAAAAAAGGAAAGCAGUUUGUUUCCCCACUGAAAAGCAAAGGAAAAAAAAAUAUGGCUACUUACAAUACAUUGAGAAGAGAAGAGAAGAGAAGAGAAGAGAAGAGAAGAGAAGAGAAGAGAGAAGAGAGAAGAGAAGAGAAGAGAAGAGAAGAAUUAUUUAUUGGCCAAGUAUGAUUGGACACACAAGAAAUUUGUCUCUGGUGCAUAAGCUCUCAGUGUACAUAAAGGAUAUAAAUGAUAAAUCA